RNAcentral lists this ribosomal RNA (648 nucleotides) under uncultured bacterium. RNAcentral describes it as "bacterial SSU rRNA". It matches the Rfam family "Bacterial small subunit ribosomal RNA", at positions 578 to 1225 of the family's 1533-position model. The record is from RNAcentral.
GUUUGUCGCGUUGUUCGUGAAAUCUCACGGCUUAACUGUGAGCGUGCGGGCGAUACGGGCAGACUUGAGUACUGCAGGGGAGACUGGAAUUCCUGGUGUAGCGGUGGAAUGCGCAGAUAUCAGGAGGAACACCGGUGGCGAAGGCGGGUCUCUGGGCAGUAACUGACGCUGAGGAGCGAAAGCGUGGGGAGCGAACAGGAUUAGAUACCCUGGUAGUCCACGCCGUAAACGGUGGGUACUAGGUGUGGGUUUCCUUCCUUGGGAUCCGUGCCGUAGCUAACGCAUUAAGUACCCCGCCUGGGGAGUACGGCCGCAAGGCUAAAACUCAAAGAAAUUGACGGGGGCCCGCACAAGCGGCGGAGCAUGUGGAUUAAUUCGAUGCAACGCGAAGAACCUUACCUGGGUUUGACAUGCACAGGACACCGGCAGAGAUGUCGGUUCCCUUGUGGCCUGUGUGCAGGUGGUGCAUGGCUGUCGUCAGCUCGUGUCGUGAGAUGUUGGGUUAAGUCCCGCAACGAGCGCAACCCUUGUCUCAUGUUGCCAGCGGGUAAUGCCGGGGACUCGUGAGAGACUGCCGGGGUCAACUCGGAGGAAGGUGGGGAUGACGUCAAGUCAUCAUGCCCCUUAUGUCCAGGGCUUCACACAUGC